Non-coding RNA from Coturnix japonica (Japanese quail), 4132 nucleotides. Lineage: Eukaryota; Metazoa; Chordata; Aves; Galliformes; Phasianidae. The record is from RefSeq and is a predicted model, not a curated record.
GGUUCCUGCUGCCUUGGGGUGGCUGUGGGGCAGCUGAUGUUGCAGCACAGCCGCUCAGUGCUGGCAGUGGGAUCUCACUGCGUGCUAUCUUGCAGCCCAGCCAAGUGAGUCAUCAUUUGACUCAGACCAAGCGGCCGCUCCAUGCAUGUGGAAGCCCCAGCCAUCGAACCACCUCCAGUGGCUGCUAAGAGAGAGCUGCGUUUGCCACAUCCACGUUUAGGAAGAGGGUGGCUCUGUGUGCAUGCAGUGCUGCCCCACUGACUGCAGCACCUCCGCGUGGGGCAGAACCAGCUGCAGAACCAGCACUAUGAUCUGGUUGUGUGCCCAGUGCUGGUGCUGUCUGCUGCCUUCCACGUGUGUCACGGAUUCAUCAGAGUGGGUGAACGUGAGGAGGAAGCACCAAUUUGAAACAUAUGUCGGGAGCAAAUUCCUUCACUUUUGUAUUUAUAUUGUCGAGGAGGAGGAAUCUGCACGUUUGGUACCCGGAGGAGCUUUGUUUCCCAGUUUGCAGCUCUGUGACGCCGGUUGGGAGAAGCAGCUGCGGUUUGGUCAGUGCUGGAAGCAAACAAACACAAACAAAGGAGGCUCAGGCCGCAUCUGGGCCGUGCCCUGGUGGUGCUGCUGGAAGGGAUGCAAUUGUGAGGGGUAUGGAGUACAUCUUGACCUCAUGCUCCCCACUUAUAUAGGGGUGCGUUCCUCAGGCCUGCUGCAUGGGCAUCCCAUGCGUGCAGAGGUUUGCAUUGCUCAUCUGGGGGCUGCUCACCCCAUAGAGCAAAGAAAGACCCUCUCCUUGCACCGAUCCCAAUCCCCUUUUGUUUGUGGCGUGGUUUGGAAGCAGCCACGUGUCAGCUUGCAGGGAGUUCGUCAGCUGCCGGUGCCUCGUGUCUGAGAUGGGGUCAGUGCUGCACGUUGCUUUUAUUCCUUUCUUUUUCUUUAUUCUAGGAUGCAGCAGGGGCUGAGACGGAGCGUCUCGGUUUGUUAGAUGCAUCUGUGCUGUGGGUAGCUGUAGGAAGUGGAGCAGAAAACAAGCCGGGCUGCCCGUCCCUCAUCACUGCGUCACCUUCCUGCUGAUGGCCCAGAUAAGCGCUCAUGCUGCUCGUGGGGUUACAGGGGGGUUACCCUGCCCCAACAUGGGCAGCUCUGAGCUCAGCACCCAGCACGGAAAGACCUCUGAGAUCAUGAGGUUAUGCCGAGUUGGAAGGGAUUCAUAAGGAUCAUUGAGUCCCCACUGUGCCAUGACCAAGUCCCCUGGUGCCAUAUCACCAUAGUCCUCGGUCCCCUUAAUGGGUGGGGGCUCCCCCACUGCUCUGGGGCAGCCUCUGUCAGUGCCUGACUGCUCUUAUAGGGAAGAAAUUGUUCUUCCUAUUCAAUCUUUGAAGGGUGGGAGAAGAUUUCUGGCAUUCUUAAGGUCCUGACCUAACGCUACUUGGUUUGAUUACGCGCAGCCCAAACGUCUGAUGAUUGAAGAACAGAGAUGAGCGUCUGUUAGUUGAAACCAUGGGAAGUAAACCGCGUGCAGGACCUGGUCAGGGCUUUGGCUCUGUCAUCACCCACGGCUCCAUCUGUCACCACGGAGGGACGGGCAGCACAGUCCCAGCUGCGGGCAGCGGGCUGACACUCACCCACAGACACAGCAUCUCUGUUUGGAGCCGAGCAGGAGCACAAUCGUUGGCUUCAGCUCGUCCCGGAGCUGCAGCAGAAGGGGGAUCAGCGAGGGCUUGUGUCAUCAGUCGGAUUUAGAAGCACACGGAGCUAUGCGUGGGGUGGCAGCGCUGCAUUUGGUGAUGCUGGACUUUGUCAGGCUGCCUCAUGGGGUUCCUGCAUGGAGCCAGGUGAUAAGGAAGGGGAGAUAAGGUGCUGGGUGAGGGCAGUGUGAACUUAGAGCUGUGUAGGAAGGAGGUCAGGCAGCAGCGCGGCGCACUGAGGAUGGGCUGCUCCACUUUGCUUCCAGACACACAGAGCGAGCCAACGUGGGAAGGGAAAUGCUGUUUGAUGUGGGAAUUAACCAGGGGUUGGCCAUGGGACAGGACACCCCCAGGUGUGGGUCAGCAGUGCAGCUCAAGGAGACAGGGCCUGCUUUGCUGCAUAGAGCAUUGCCCAUCAGUAAUGCAGAGCCUUUCACAGGAGCCCGGUGACAUGGAGGCCGUGUGGGUGCUUUGUACACGUUGUAGGUUAGUUCUGGCCUCAGCGGGACAGUUCUGGUCGUUCCAUCUGUGUGAGAUGUCAAAUGGGAUGAGCAAAACUUGGCCUCGGAUCACGGAUUAGUGAGCAGCACGGGUGCGAUAACAGAGUCUGACCCAGGCUCUGUGCAUGUAGCAGCCUCGAUGUUUUUACCCCUAAAAGGCUCCGAGUGAUUCCACAUCCUUCAUGCAACUGCGUAGCUAUGAAGACAGGGCCUGGAACAUCUUGACUUUGAACUCCUUGACUUCACAGUGGCAGAGCCAGAGCUGCUCGGAGAGGUGGGGGUGCUUCCUUCUAUGCAUAGAUCCAAACCUGCCUGGAUGCUCUGUGUGCAGGGAACUGCAGGGGGGGGUUUGCACUGGGGGAGCUGCACGGAUCCCUUCCAGCCCCCACAGCUCUGGGAUUCUUUUACCUUUGGCAGUGGGGAUUUCUGCUUUGGGGAUUCACUCUUUAUGUUCUUCCCCUCUUGUCUUCAGGCUCACCAAGUUCCUCCGUGUUCAUGCUUUUUAUUCUCCUUGCUGUUGGAUUCUCAGCCAUUGGAAGGUUUCUUUGCUCAUUUCACAUGGUCAUCUGUGUCCUCACAGUUUCACCUUCAUCUCUUACAUCCCCAUGUUUGUUCUCCAAGCGCUGCAGACUGAGGUCACUCAGCACAUACAGAAGAAGGAAGCUGAUGCAUUUCUUUUGCCCCGGGGUUUCUGUUGGCCUCUUACUUCAUACAACUGCCUUCCCAUAAUGUUAAACCUCAGGGAAACUUCUCGCACUGAAGAUGUCAGCGUGAAUACGUUGGAUGGUUUUGGAACCACCCAUGUGCAUACUUGAGGUUUGCCUUGUGCUUUACGUCAGAACGAGCUGUUCCAUUGAAGGGCUCAGGCUGUGGUUGUGGCUGUAUAUGACAGAGUCCAGACUCAGGGAAUUCCUUGGGAUGGAAAGGUCCAUAGAGGUCAUGGAACCAUAGAAUAGUUGGGUUGGAAUGGCCCCUUCAGCCCCACUAUAGGCUGGGAGCCCCACAGCUCAGUGAGCUUAUGGUGCUUGGAGCAGUGGGAUGAGCACAGCGCUGGGGUUAUCGGGGCUGCAUGCACAGCUUUGGGAUUUGCAAAGCUUCCAGAUGGAGUGACUGCUGGGAGCCCAUGUAAAUCCUGGGAUUUGUCGUUGUUUUCUUGGUGCUGUGCUCAGCAGCCCCUUACCAAGCGCCCAGUGCCAGCAUGCCAUAUAUCCCAGGGUAGGAGCUGACCUCCUGGGGGUGUAGGGCCGUUGUUCUGCCCCUGCUAUGGUUGUAGCCUCCCUGAACUGCCAAAUAACCUCAUAGGGGGUCUCCAGAAUGGCUCUUCACAGCCCCAGCUGCUCAGGAUGGGGCCUGGUUAUGCAGCCCCUUAAUUAUAAGGCUGUACUCCCAGUGGGGGGUGUCACAUGCUGGGAUCAUAUGGAGGUGGGCUCAGGAGCCUCUCCUGGUCCAGCUCAGGGUGUGCUCCAAAGCUCUGUGCCUUUGGGCUUCAGGGAGGACAGAGGGUUCAGCAUGGUCCCCCCAUUGCCAUGGCUGUGCUCGUGGUUCUCUGUUUGCUCAGGAACAGAGCAGGUUUCAGUCUGAGCAUCUGACACUGCUGUGGCUUCCUGUGGGUUGUACCCAUGUCCCACAGCAGCUUCUCCUGCUCCAGCAUAGAGCUUUCACAAGCAAAAGGGAUGAUGCUUCAGAACAGGAUCCACUUAGCAUCUCUCCUGUGAGGAGGCAACUAGUGAGCUGAGCUGUUGUACUUAAGGAAACUCAAACAAGCUGGGGGUGGUGGCACUGAAUUCAUCUAAUGUGGGGUGCUACAGAGCCCCAGAGCUCAUGGGUGCACUGCACCUGCAUGCUCCUCUCUGCUGCACUGGCCGGGCUCUUUGCAUCGCUAACCAACAUCACGUUCCUGGUAUUGUUUGCUAUUGUCAGCCUUCAAUAAAAAGCAUGUGGGUAGAA